UCCCUGGUGGCUCAGAGGGUAAAGCGUCUGCUUACAAUGCAGGAGACCCAGGUUCGAUCCCUGGGUUGGGAA
This 72-nucleotide transfer RNA is filed under the name Ovis aries (sheep). It matches the Rfam family "tRNA". From Rfam's summary of the family: Transfer RNA (tRNA) molecules are approximately 80 nucleotides in length. Their secondary structure includes four short double-helical elements and three loops (D, anti-codon, and T loops). The record is from Rfam by way of RNAcentral. Lineage: Eukaryota; Metazoa; Chordata; Mammalia; Artiodactyla; Bovidae.